This 460-nucleotide ribosomal RNA is filed under the name uncultured bacterium. RNAcentral's name for it is "partial 16S ribosomal RNA". It matches the Rfam family "Bacterial small subunit ribosomal RNA", at positions 338 to 795 of the family's 1533-position model. The record is from RNAcentral.
CCUACGGGAGGCAGCAGUGAGGAAUAUUGGUCAAUGGUCGGGAGACUGAACCAGCCAAGCCGCGUGAGGGAUGAAGGUACAGUGGAUUGUAAACUUCUUUUAUCUGGGAAUAAAGUCGGGAACGUGUCCCUUUUUGUAUGUACCUUAUGAAUAAGCAUCGGCUAACUCCGUGCCAGCAGCCGCGGUAAUACGGAGGAUGCGAGCGUUAUCCGGAUUUAUUGGGUUUAAAGGGUGCGUAGGUGGUCAGUUAAGUCAGCGGUGAAAGGUUGUGGCUCAACCCCAAAAUCGCCGUUGAAACUGGCAGUCUUGAGUUGGAGAGAGGUAGGCGGAAUGCGCGGUGUAGCGGUGAAAUGCAUAGAUAUCACGCAGAACUCCGAUUGCGAAGGCAGCAUGCCGACUUCACACUGACACUGAGGCACGAAAGCGUGGGUAUCGAACAGGAUUAGAUACCCUAGUAGUC